GAACAUACAAGCAUAGGCAACAGGUCAACUGCUGAGAACAAUUUAGAAAAAAAAAUAACAUAAGAUGAAGGCAAAUUCUACUGCUCAGUUCGAUGCCGGAUGGUGCACAUGAAGUGUGACGUUAGCCGUGAAGGUAUCUCAGCGCUUUUUCAGAAAGCAUAGUACCUGAUCUUCUUUCACCUAUGGUAGCGUACAACGCCCAUUUCGUUUCGACUUUCGCCAUUGCUUUCAAGUACGCGUGAAGCUGGACUAAAGUCGCACUAUGCUCGAAAGUAGUGUGAGUGGUAGACACAUCGGCAUUAUAGAAUAUGAGCUCACAAGUCAAGCCACCCUGAUAAAUUACUGGUUAUUUCUUUGAUGAACAGCAUUACCAAAAGAAAGCAUGCAGCUGAAAGUGAUCCUGGUGGGCUUGGCAAUCUUUGGUCUUAUUGUGCCAGAGAGCAGUGCUAUGCCGGCAAGCAGCUCCAGUGAUGCCGAGGCCAGGGCUGAUCCCGGGAUUGCUGAGCGUGCCGAGCAGGGCAGCGCCGAGGAGGCACGCAUCAGCGAGGGAUGCUUGGCUUCCCUGUGCGGGUAAUAACCUGACGCAAGAGAGUGACACCUUCUAAAGGUCGCCUCCCGCAAAAAUAGCACAAAUAUUCCGAAAGUAGUAAAGGCACUGCCCAGCGCUCCACACCUUGCCCCAGUGCCGAAUAUUGGCGCUUGCGGAUGGCUGUUGCGCGUGCUCUUGCAUUGAAUAAAGUUCCGUUUAACAUGUAA
RNAcentral lists this long non-coding RNA (756 nucleotides) under Dermacentor andersoni. RNAcentral describes it as "uncharacterized LOC126524558". The record is from RNAcentral. Lineage: Eukaryota; Metazoa; Arthropoda; Arachnida; Ixodida; Ixodidae.